AUUAGAGUUUGAUCAUGGCUCAGGACGAACGCUGGCGGCGUGCCUAAUACAUGCAAGUCGAGCGCCGUGAAACAGACUGAACUCUUCGGAGUGACGUUUGUGGUACGAGCGGCGGACGGGUGAGUAACACGUGGGCAACCUACCUGUAAGACUGGGAUAACUCGCGGAAACGUGAGCUAAUACCGGAUAAUACUUUUUCAUUUUCAUGGUGGAAAGAUAAAAGAUGGCUUUUGCUAUUACUUACAGAAUGGGCCCGCGGCGCAUUAGCUAGUUGGUGGGAUAAAAGCCUACCAAGGCAACGAUGCGUAGCCGACCUGAGAGGGUGAUCGGCCACACUGGGACUGAGACACGGCCCAGACUCCUACGGGAGAAGCAGUAGGGAAUCUUCCGCAAUGGACGCAAGUCUGACGGAGCACGCCGCGUGAGUGAUGAAGGUCUUCGGAUCGUCUCUGUUGUUAGGGAAGAACAAGUACUAAAGUAACGAUUAGUUCCUUAA
Molecule: ribosomal RNA, 496 nt
Filed under: uncultured bacterium
Lineage: Bacteria
Description: bacterial SSU rRNA
Rfam family: Bacterial small subunit ribosomal RNA
Source: RNAcentral